GACGAACGCUGGCGGCGUGCUUAACACAUGCAAGUCGAACGGAAAGGCCCUGCUUUUGUGGGGUGCUCGAGUGGCGAACGGGUGAGUAACACGUGAGUAACCUGCCCUUGACUUUGGGAUAACUUCAGGAAACUGGGGCUAAUACCGGAUAGGAGCUCCUGCUGCAUGGUGGGGGUUGGAAAGUUUCGGCGGUUGGGGAUGGACUCGCGGCUUAUCAGCUUGUUGGUGGGGUAGUGGCUUACCAAGGCUUUGACGGGUAGCCGGCCUGAGAGGGUGACCGGCCACAAUGGGACUGAGAUACGGCCCAGACUCCUACGGGAGGCAGCAGUGGGGAAUAUUGCACAAUGGGCGGAAGCCUGAUGCAGCAACGCCGCGUGCGGGAUGACGGCCUUCGGGUUGUAAACCGCUUUCGCCUGUGACGAAGCGGGAGUGACGGUAAUGGGUAAAGAAGCACCGGCUAACUACGUG
RNAcentral lists this ribosomal RNA (468 nucleotides) under uncultured bacterium. RNAcentral's name for it is "partial 16S ribosomal RNA". It matches the Rfam family "Bacterial small subunit ribosomal RNA", at positions 28 to 507 of the family's 1533-position model. The record is from RNAcentral.